RNAcentral lists this RNase P RNA (425 nucleotides) under Candidatus Pacearchaeota archaeon. RNAcentral describes it as "RNase P RNA component". It matches the Rfam family "Archaeal RNase P". Rfam says of the family: Ribonuclease P (RNase P) is a ubiquitous endoribonuclease, found in archaea, bacteria and eukarya as well as chloroplasts and mitochondria. The record is from RNAcentral. Lineage: Archaea; Nanobdellati.
GUGAGUCGGGCAGCUAACUCCGAACGGUAUCUUUCGAUAGAUGAGAAUUUUAAUGAAUUCUCCGUUUGAGGAAGGUCCGGACAUCAAUAACAAGCGACCACUUGAAAGGGUGGCUGUCGCGAGAUAGAGCUCCAGAACAGAAACGACACAGCCAACAUUGACGCUAAAAAUCUUUAGAGAUUUUGGCGCCUCGAAAACUACAAGUUUUCAAGGACUAUGAACCCUUGGGGGGAGUUAAGAUAUGUUGGAUAUGAUGAAACGGGAAAUUCGUCAGAAUUUCACGCACCAGAGCGACUUGUUCGCUAUGAGUGUGGCUGACUUCGCUGAUGCAACCACUUUAACCGUGGGCUUAGAAAGAUGUUAGCACGCACGGUUCGCACGUUAAGGUGCGACGUUCGACAGAAUCUGGCCUACGCCUGACUCAC